AGAUUGAACGCUGGCGGCAGGCCUAACACAUGCAAGUCGAGCGGCAGCACGGGUACUUGUACCUGGUGGCGAGCGGCGGACGGGUGAGUAAUGCCUAGGAAUCUGCCUGGUAGUGGGGGAUAACGCUCGGAAACGGACGCUAAUACCGCAUACGUCCUACGGGAGAAAGCAGGGGACCUUCGGGCCUUGCGCUAUCAGAUGAGCCUAGGUCGGAUUAGCUAGUUGGUGAGGUAAUGGCUCACCAAGGCGACGAUCCGUAACUGGUCUGAGAGGAUGAUCAGUCACACUGGAACUGACGACACGGUCCCAG
RNAcentral lists this ribosomal RNA (310 nucleotides) under uncultured soil bacterium. RNAcentral describes it as "bacterial SSU rRNA". It matches the Rfam family "Bacterial small subunit ribosomal RNA", at positions 26 to 334 of the family's 1533-position model. The record is from RNAcentral.